Molecule: long non-coding RNA, 3816 nt
Filed under: Ananas comosus (pineapple)
Lineage: Eukaryota; Viridiplantae; Streptophyta; Magnoliopsida; Poales; Bromeliaceae
Description: long non-coding RNA (ACOM_LNC041862)
Source: RNAcentral
CUCGAGGUGGGUGGUGCAUUUCAAGGACAUCGAAAAUCUCUCUAUGUCUAAGUGUCAUACUUUGAGCAUUUAUGCAUUUUGAGCAUCUUGCAUAAUAGGGUUAAUUGUGAGUUCUUUUAUAUAGUCUAAUGUGAAUUCAAAUGCAUGUUAAAUGUUUGUAAGAAUGUGAGAAUGAUGAUCCCUAUGUAUGCAUGAUUGUGACAAGAACCUAGAAGGGUUAGUAAACGAAAAGUGACACUUUGACAUAGAUUUAGCAAGUGACAUCGACGGGUCUAGAACACUUAGUAAACAAGUGUGGCAUUUGACGUGAGAACAAGAAUAUAGAACACUUAGCAAACAAGUGUGGCAUGAGUACAAGAACUUGAUAGCGUAUAUGACAUUGGUGAUAGAAAAGAAUGCAAGAACAAAAACGACCGAGAUAUUAUGACAUUCAACCUUAGUGUUAAGAGUCAUUUGAGCAUAGUCUUCCUUAAAGUUAAGGAAUGGAUUGAACUUGGAAUCCUCNNNNNNNNNNNNNNNNNNNNNNNNNGCGUUGGUUGUUCAACCGACGCUAUUGGAGAAGAUUAAAGAGUUGCAAGCUUCAGAUGAAUAUCUACAAAAGGUGCGUGGGGAAGUUGAGAGCGGUAGUGCCGAUGACUUUGGCAUUGGGACCGACGGCGCACUCCGGUUUAGAAACCGUUGGUGUGUGCCUAAGAAUAAGGACAUCCGCAGGGCGAUCAUGCAAGAGGCGCACCAAUCCCCUUAUAGUAUACACCCGGGCGGCACCAAAAUGUAUCAAGAUUUGAAGUUACAUUAUUGGUGGCCGGGCAUGAAAAAGGACAUUUGGGAGUAUGUUGCGCAGUGCCUUACUUGCCAACAAGUCAAGGCUGAGCGGAGGUUCCCGGCGGGGAAGUUGCAAAGUCUCCCUAUACCGGUUUGGAAAUGGGAGAAUAUCGCGAUGGACUUCGUGACCGGGUUGCCCCGAUCUCAAGGUGGACAUGAUGCCAUUUGGGUAAUAGUAGACCGGUUGACGAAGUCGGCGCAUUUCCUGCCGAUCCACAUUACUUGGUCGGGAGACAAAUUGGCUCAAGUGUAUAUCGACGAUAUCGUGAGACUUCAUAGGGUUCCGGUGUCUAUCGUGUCGGAUCGGGGCCCGAGGUUCACCUCUCACUUUUGGAGGAGCCUACAGGAGGCUUUGGGCACGCGGCUCGACUUUAGCACGGCAUUUCAUCCUCAAAGUGAUGGUCAAUCGGAGAGGACAAUACAAAUACUCGAGGAUAUGCUUCGAGCGUGUGUGCUGGAUUAUAAGGGCAAUUGGUAUGAUCACCUUCCGAUGGCGGAGUUCGCGUACAAUAACAGUUAUCAAGAAAGUAUCGCGAUGGCGCCAUUCGAGGCCCUUUAUGGAAAGAAAUGUCGCUCCCCAAUUCAUUCGAGGCCCUUUAUGGAAAGGGCGGCACUUGGCCCCGAUGUAGUGCGGGAGGCGGAAGAGAAGGUUCGUCUUGCACGCCAACGACUUGCUACGGCGCAAUCUCGGCAAAAGAGUUAUGCCGAAAAACGAAGGAAAGAUAUAGAGUUUGCCAUUAGAGACCACGUGUUUCUAAAGAUUUCGCCGAUGAGAGGGAUCAAACGGUUUGGAAUCCGUGGGAAGCUAAGUCCCCGGUAUCUUGGACCGUUCGAGAUACUAGAGCGGGUCGGCACGGUGGCGUACAAGAUAGUAUUACCACCGAGGCUUGCGGGAGUACAUGACGUGUUCCAUGUAUCGAACCUCCGCAAGUAUGUUCAUGACCCCGAUCAUGUUCUCUCGUUUGAACCAUCCGAGAUUCAAGAGGACAUGACCUAUGAGGAGUUCCCGGCAUGCAUCAUCGACCGAGGAGUAAGAAAACUACGAAAUCGCGAGAUUUCGUAUGUUAAAAUUCGUUGGUGUAAUCACGACGACCGGGAAGCUACUUGGGAGCUCGAGAGCGCGAUGACGGAACAUUACCCUCAUCUCUUCGAUGAGUUGAACUGAGGUAUGAGAUUUAAGUUAAAUUAAGUUAGUUUCGCGGACGAAACUAAUUAUAAGGGGUGGAGAAUGUAACGUAUCAAAACCCGAAAACGAUAUUCGAACUUUGACCAAAUUGGUUAAAGCGUCGAAAGAAGGCGAUGAACCAGUUCCUCUUGCAUUCCAACGAGUUGGAAGGGGGAAAAAUGAGUUUGGAAAGACUUAGAAUGCUUUUAGUAUCGACCGGCGCGAAAUAGAGCCGAAGAAAAGCGAAAAAUAGCAUUCUGGAGCUAUUGUACCGGUACAAGGUGAUGGCUGUACCCGUACAACCAUCACGGAACAGUGCUCUGGUUGCUGUACCGGUACAAGGUCUCCUUGUACCGGAACAAGCCCGACGAAACCGAGAACCGAGCUCUCGGGUUUGGCCUGCUAAUUGGCCUUGUACCGGUACAAGACCCCGUGUACUGGUACAAGAGGCUCCAGACAGCCCAGUGAGACUUGUUGCAAAUAAGAAGAAAUAGAGGGUUUAGUUGCAAUUGUAGCAACAUGUUAACACCCCAACCCCUCUCUUUCUCCCUCCCACAGCCACUCAUCUCCCCCUCUCUCAUUCCUCUCAUUUCUCUCUUUCUCUCUCUAGAACCAAACCCUAGAGCUAAGGAGAAGGUGGAGAGGAGCUAGGAGAAGGAGAUUUUGGAGCUUUGGAGGGUCAAGAAGCUCUCCAACAAGAAGGAGCUUGCUAGGGCUUGGACAAAGGUGAGUUUAAUCACUUAUUUGAGUCUAGGGUUUGGAUUUUAACCCAAAGUUUUAGGGUUUUGAGCUUGUUUCUAGAUUUAGAAACCUUGGGGACCCAUGAAACCAUGAAAUCCAUGGUUUUCAUGAAGCCCUCUCAUGGUGGAUCACUAGGGCUCAAAGUAGAUGCCCUAGGGAUGGUUCAAAUGGGUUAAGGAGGGUAUUAGAAAGCUUCUAGGUUGAUUCUAAGCUAUCUUUUGCUUAGCAAUGAGAUCGAUCUAGGGGAUAUGCCAAAUGACAUUGUUAGGGUUUGAAAAUUGGGGCUUUUGCCCUAGAAUUUUUCGGGGACAAAUUGAACCCGUAGAAACCUAAUUGGGGGUGUCCUAAACGCGUUGGACAACUCCGUUUAAGCAUUCGAAAAUGUUGGAAAAUAGUUCAUGUACAUAGGGCCUAAUUGGCACUAUUUUGGUUGUAGGACACGAGUUCGACGUCCGUGUGGCGCACGAGACUUCACACCUUGCUUCUACUACCCCUCGAGGUGGGUGGUGCAUUCCAAGGACAUCGGAAAUCUCUCUAUGUCUAAGUGUCAUACUUUGAGCAUUUAUGCAUUUUGAGCAUCUUGCAUAAUAGGGUUAAUUGUGAGUUCUUUUAUAUAGUCUAAUGUAAAUUCAAAUGCAUGUUAAAUGUUUGUAAGAAUGUGAGAAUGAUGAUCCCUAUGUAUGCAUGAUUGUGACAAGAACCUAGAAGGGUUAGUAAACGAAAAGUGACACUUUGACAUAGAUUUAGCAAGUGACAUCGACGAGUCUAGAACACUUAGUAAACAAGUGUGGCAUUUGACGUGAGAACAAGAAUAUAGAACACUUAGUAAACAAGUGUGGCAUGAGUACAAGAACUUGAUAGCGUAUAUGACAUUGGUGAUAGAAAAGAAUGCAAGAACAAGAACGACCGAGAUAUUAUGACAUUCAACCUUAGUGUUAAGAGUCAUUUGAGCAUAGUCUUCCUUAAAGUUAAGGAAUGGAUUGAACUUGGAAUCCUCGAAUGUAGGAUUGAUCGUACUCACAUUAGUCCUUGCUCGAGGUUGUGGUAGCUCCCCCUCGGGCGAUGUGCUCCGGAGUCGACAUCACUGG